Molecule: ribosomal RNA, 425 nt
Filed under: uncultured bacterium
Lineage: Bacteria
Description: partial 16S ribosomal RNA
Rfam family: Bacterial small subunit ribosomal RNA
Source: RNAcentral
GUGGGGAAUAUUGCACAAUGGAGGAAACUCUGAUGCAGCGACGCCGCGUGAGUGAAGAAGUAUUUCGGUAUGUAAAGCUCUAUCAGCAGGGAAGAAAAUGACGGUACCUGACUAAGAAGCACCGGCUAAAUACGUGCCAGCAGCCGCGGUAAUACGUAUGGUGCAAGCGUUAUCCGGAUUUACUGGGUGUAAAGGGAGCGUAGGUGGCAAGGCAAGCCAGAAGUGAAAACCCGGGGCUCAACCGCGGGAUUGCUUUUGGAACUGUCAUGCUAGAGUGCAGGAGGGGUGAGCGGAAUUCCUAGUGUAGCGGUGAAAUGCGUAGAUAUUAGGAGGAACACCGGAGGCGAAGGCGGCUCACUGGACUGUAACUGACACUGAGGCUCGAAAGCGUGGGGAGCAAACAGGAUUAGAUACCCUGGUAGUCC